This 340-nucleotide ribosomal RNA is filed under the name uncultured Bacillota bacterium. RNAcentral describes it as "bacterial SSU rRNA". It matches the Rfam family "Bacterial small subunit ribosomal RNA", at positions 28 to 351 of the family's 1533-position model. The record is from RNAcentral. Lineage: Bacteria; Bacillati; Bacillota.
GAUGAACGCUGGCGGCGUGCCUAACACAUGCAAGUCGAGCGGUAUAUACUUUAUCAAAUCUUCGGAAGAGAGACGGUAUAGAGAGCGGCGGACGGGUGAGUAACGCGUAGGCAACCUGCCCCAUACAGAGGGAUAGCCUCGGGAAACCGGGAUUAAAACCUCAUAACGCGAGAGAUUCACAUGGGUCUUUCGCCAAAGAUUUAUCGGUAUGGGAUGGGCCUGCGUCUGAUUAGCUAGUUGGUAAGGUAACGGCUUACCAAGGCAACGAUCAGUAGCCGACCUGAGAGGGUAAUCGGCCACAUUGGAACUGAGACACGGUCCAAACUCCUACGGGUGGCUG